This is a non-coding RNA of Microcebus murinus (gray mouse lemur), 1206 nucleotides long. NCBI's taxonomy places the organism in Eukaryota, Metazoa, Chordata, Mammalia, Primates, Cheirogaleidae. The record is from RefSeq and is a predicted model, not a curated record.
GCUUAUGCAUCAUGUUUGCUAGUGAUGCGAUGAUGCAUACAUCUCUUAUGCCAGAGAGUAUUAUGAUGCCCCCUUGCUCUUUCUGGAGCCCUGAAACCACCAUGUGAACAAGUCAGAGCUAGCCAGCUAGAUGGAGGAUGAGGCCACAUGGAAGAGAACCAAAGCUCCCAGGCCAACAACCUGCUCACUGCUAGUCAUGCAGAAAAAAGGUCAAUGGACUAAGUCACGCCAGUUCAGGAGUCUGGACCAAUUCAUCAUCCUUGGUGCCAACCGACCUUCUUGGAACUAUAUCCAGAGAUAGAAUCAUUUCAGAAUCACACUUCGAGAGAUGUGCAUACUAUGAAGGGCAUGGAGAAACAGUGAGCAGAGAUGGACGAUUUGUGCCUCCGUCUCAUCAGAAGCAAUGUCAAUCAAGUUGAAGAAUGCAAGAAAUGGGCUUCCAUGUUUACAUUGUUACCUUAGUAGUUUGCAACCAAAUACAUACAUACAUAUAUUUGAAUUUGUGUGAGUUAAAUGCAUCUAUGAUAUGGCUCCACUAUUUGGGAAAUUAUAUCAGUUGGUAGCGGAACAGUCAAGGAUUAAAUACAAAAUAAAACUGUUUUUUUUUUUGGUUCAAAUCUUCUUUUACAGUUUUGUUGUUCAAAUCUUCAUCUAUAACCUCUACACUGUGGGUUUCUGGAGGAUGGGUGCCAUGCUUUAGGGUCCAGCUCAGAACCUUUCUAAAGUGGAUGCGCAUUAAAUGAAAACAGAACAGGAAAAGGCAAGGCUACCCCUAGUGAUAGAAUGGGUCUAGGUUACAAUCAUCAGUAGCUGCUAAUAUCACAAAAAGAUACCACCUGCCCCGAUGAAGGCUCAUACCCCACCUAUGAAGUACUCUAGCCAAAUAAUCCAAUCUGUUCAAGUCUCUUGAUACAACUACACAUUUACAGAAAAUGCAAGUAAUAAGGAACAUAUUUAAUGAUAUCACAGGAAGACAAUCAGCAAAAAACACACCAUGCCUCCCAAAAUACCCAAAAUGUUGAAAGCUACAAAGCAACCAAUAUGGUUUCUUCAACAAAUAAACUGCAAGGGAGGAAAAAGGGGAAAGAAAAUAAAAGGAUAAACUUAUAUUUUCAAAGGGAUUUAAGAAACAUAUCAACUAAAUGCAACAUGUAGACCUUAUUUGGAUCCCAAUUUGAAUAAAUCAAUAGUUUAAAAAAUUGUGAG